UGGAAGUAAAAGUCGUAACAAGGUCUCCGUUGGUGAACCAGCGGAGGGAUCAUUACCGAGUUAUACAACUCCCAAACCCACUGUGAACCUUACCUCAGUUGCCUCGGCGGGAACGCCCCGGCCGCCUGCCCCCGCGCCGGCGCCGGACCCAGGCGCCCGCCGCAGGGACCCCAAACUCUCUUGCAUUACGCCCAGCGGGCGGAAUUUCUUCUCUGAGUUGCACAAGCAAAAACAAAUGAAUCAAAACUUUCAACAACGGAUCUCUUGGUUCUGGCAUCGAUGAAGAACGCAGCGAAAUGCGAUAAGUAAUGUGAAUUGCAGAAUUCAGUGAAUCAUCGAAUCUUUGAACGCACAUUGCGCCCGCCAGCAUUCUGGCGGGCAUGCCUGUUCGAGCGUCAUUUCAACCCUCGAGCCCCCCCCGGGGGCCUCGGUGUUGGGGGACGGCACACCAGCCGCCCCCGAAAUGCAGUGGCGACCCCGCCGCAGCCUCCCCUGCGUAGUAGCACACACCUCGCACCGGAGCGCGGAGGCGGUCACGCCGUAAAACGCCCAACUUUCUUAGAGUUGACCUCGGAUCAGGUAGGAAUACCCGCUGAACUUAAGCAUAUCAAUAAGCGGAGG
RNAcentral lists this ribosomal RNA (621 nucleotides) under fungal sp. ARIZ L162. RNAcentral describes it as "eukaryotic LSU rRNA". The stretch from base 245 to 398 matches the Rfam family "5.8S ribosomal RNA". The record is from RNAcentral. Lineage: Eukaryota; Fungi.